Molecule: transfer RNA, 77 nt
Filed under: Candidatus Thorarchaeota archaeon
Lineage: Archaea; Promethearchaeati; Candidatus Thorarchaeota
Description: tRNA-Ile
Rfam family: tRNA
About the family: Transfer RNA (tRNA) molecules are approximately 80 nucleotides in length. Their secondary structure includes four short double-helical elements and three loops (D, anti-codon, and T loops).
Source: RNAcentral
AGCCCCGUGGUGUAGAGUAGGAUCCCUUGGGAUCUAUGGCCCGCUGGACCCAGGUUCGAGUCCUGGCGGGGCUACCA